This 468-nucleotide ribosomal RNA is filed under the name uncultured bacterium. Its description in RNAcentral is "partial 16S ribosomal RNA". It matches the Rfam family "Bacterial small subunit ribosomal RNA", at positions 28 to 507 of the family's 1533-position model. The record is from RNAcentral.
GACGAACGCUGGCGGCGUGCUUAACACAUGCAAGUCGAACGGAAAGGCCCUGCUUUUGUGGGGUGCUCGAGUGGCGAACGGGUGAGUGACACGUGAGUAACCUGCCCUUGACUUUGGGAUAACUUCAGGAAACUGGGGCUAAUACCGGAUAGGAGCUCCUGCUGCAUGGUGGGGGUUGGAAAGUUUCGGCGGUUGGGGAUGGACUCGCGGCUUAUCAGCUUGUUGGUGGGGUAGUGGCUUACCAAGGCUUUGACGGGUAGCCGGCCUGAGAGGGUGACCGGCCACAGUGGGACUGAGAUACGGCCCAGACUCCUACGGGAGGCAGCAGUGGGGAAUAUUGCACAAUGGGCGGAAGCCUGAUGCAGCAACGCCGCGUGCGGGAUGACGGCCUUCGGGUUGUAAACCGCUUUCGCCUGUGACGAAGCGUGAGUGACGGUAAUGGGUAAAGAAGCACCGGCUAACUACGUG